This 215-nucleotide unclassified non-coding RNA is filed under the name Melitaea cinxia (Glanville fritillary). Its description in RNAcentral is "misc RNA ENSMCXG00005014767.1". Lineage: Eukaryota; Metazoa; Arthropoda; Insecta; Lepidoptera; Nymphalidae. The record is from RNAcentral.
AAUUAUUUACAUUUGUUUAAAACUUACCCAAUAUUUUUUUUUUUUUUUUUUUUUUUUUUUUUUUUUUUUUUUUUUUUUUUUUUUUUUUUUUUUUUUUUUUUUUUGUUUUUAAUAUUUUUUUUUAAUAAAUACAUAAUUGAUAUUUGUAUAUAUUUAUAGUUAUGUAUAUAAUUAUAGUUAUUAAUGUAUUUAAUUAUAGUUGUCGCAUCAACGAU